UGGGGAAUAUUGGACAAUGGGGGCAACCCUGAUCCAGCAAUGCCGCGUGUGUGAAGAAGGCCUGCGGGUUGUAAAGCACUUUUGGCAGGGAUGAAAAGCACUGGAUUAAUAACCCAGUGUGUUGACCUAACCUGCAGAAGAAGCACCGGCUAACUACGUGCCAGCAGCCGCGGUAAUACGUAGGGUGCAAGCGUUAAUCGGAAUUACUGGGUGUAAAGCGUGCGCAGGCGGUUGUGUAAGUCAGAUGUGAAAUCCCCGGGCUCAACCUGGGAAUUGCAUUUGAGACUGCACGGCUAGAGUGUGUCAGAGGGGGGUAGAAUUCCACGUGUAGCAGUGAAAUGCGUAGAUAUGUGGAGGAAUACCGAUGGCGAAGGCAGCCCCCUGGGAUAACACUGACGCUCAUGCACGAAAGCGUGGGGAGCAAACAGGAUUAGAUACCCGAGUAGUCCCUGAGCGGGCUGGCAAGGCGCAU
Molecule: ribosomal RNA, 472 nt
Filed under: uncultured bacterium
Lineage: Bacteria
Description: bacterial SSU rRNA
Rfam family: Bacterial small subunit ribosomal RNA
Source: RNAcentral